AUUGAACGCUGGCGGCAUGCCUUACACAUGCAAGUCGAACGGCAGCACGGGAGCAAUCCUGGUGGCGAGUGGCGAACGGGUGAGUAAUAUAUCGGAACGUGCCCAGUAGUGGGGGGAUAGCCCGGCAAAGCCGGAUUAAUACCGCAUACGACCUGUGGGUGAAAGCGGGGGAUCGCAAGACCUCGCGCUAUUGGAGCGGCCGAUAUCAGAUUAGCUAGUUGGUGGGGUAAAGGCCUACCAAGGCGACGAUCUGUAGCUGGUCUGAGAGGACGACCAGCCACACUGGGACUGAGACACGGCCCAGACUCCUACGGGAGGCAGCAGUGGGGAAUUUUGGACAAUGGGCGCAAGCCUGAUCCAGCCAUGCCGCGUGUGGGGAAG
Molecule: ribosomal RNA, 381 nt
Filed under: uncultured bacterium
Lineage: Bacteria
Description: bacterial SSU rRNA
Rfam family: Bacterial small subunit ribosomal RNA
Source: RNAcentral